GAAGGAGCCCGGGGAGGGAGGGGGAGGGGCCGGGAGCUGGGGGUAAGGGAGGAGUGAGCCUGGGUGCUGUGGGGGGAGGGGGUUGUUCAAGGGAUGGGGACGAUCAGGGUCUCUGGGAAGUGCUGACGUGUGCGCGUGUGCGGUGUGUUGCUUGUGGGUGCGUGUGUGGUGUGUGCAUGUGUGUGCGCGCGCGUGUGUGCGGGGUGUGCCGUGAGCGUGUGCCCGCGGUUCGGGGGAUGAGUAGGGGCGCUGACUUUUAGGACCAGCCAUUUGAGUCAAGCUGGAGACGACGUCUUAGAACCUAGGAUGAGUCUCGUUUGGUUUUAGUCUGCAAAGCUCGUCUGCAUCAGACAGGAAUUUUCCCCAGACGCGGGUGCACGUGAAUUAAUUCAUCAGAAGGCGGUUCACGGCCUGAGUGAGGGGGACGAGGGCGGCGAAUUCCUCCGCCUCAUUCCUACCCUGACGAUUCGAGCCUUAGCAAGUUCUGGCCUGUGGAGCCGUCAUCCAGAGCGCACAGCUUCAUGCCCUUGAAGGGCGCAGUGUGUCCCGUGGUGCCCGGUGGGCCCGGACAGAGACCCCAGAGGCUCUGUCUGAAGGAAGCUGCACCCACAGACUCCAUCCAGGCAGCGCGGGCGCGGUCCUGUCGCCUACCUUUCUCGGAAGCCAUCUGCCCAUGUGAAUCUAUGUGAAGGCCCUUCAUGCGCUCCUGGACAUCUGCGUGGGAUUUACUUCAACUGCUAUCGCUGCGAGGAGGACGAGCAUGUUUCACUGUAUUUUUAGCAGAGAGUGCAGAUUUUAGAACCUCGCGAACGGUCCUGUAUCUCCUGCACGAUGACUCUCCAGAACAGGAAUAGUGACCCUUCCUUUGCAUUUAUGGUGCAUAGGUUUUCAAAGGACAGUGUGUAAAUCAGCUUGUGUAAUAAUUGUGGCACCCACGCGCGCAAGCAGACUUACCAUGAGCUGACUUCCACUGAUUAUUUCAGUUUCCAGGGAAACGAGGUUUGCAGCCCCCUCCAGUGAGGGCGGAGCGGCCUCUCCAUUCCCAAUGCAGCAAGGCUGCUGCAGCCACGAUGAUUAGGCUUUGGAGGAGGAAGUGAACGGAUGGGGCCUCAUCCUCCUGCCUCCCUAAAGGGUGAGGGUGGAAGGAUGGGGCUGUGCCCUCUUAGGGCAGGGAAAAACAGCUUGGAGGGGUUUCUGCCAUCAGAGAUCCCAUAGGAGGCAGGUCAGUCCUGCAGAAUUUCUCCCCAGUCUGGCCUCCAGCCUCCCUGGCCCCUUUCUAGAGGCCUCCAUCCCACUGGCGGCUUGCUCCUGCCACCGGGCCUCUGCACAGUCACCUCCUGCAGCCUGGGGUGUGUCGCCUCUCCACGUCCUCACCGGCGUCUGCCUUUGCAUUUCCCAGAUGCUCGCUUCACCCCACUGAGAUGUAACUCAGUUUUGUGGGAUCCCACUGCCCUCCAGGUGCCGCUCCGAGUGCUCUACACAGAUUUUCAUUCAGUCCUUGCGGCACACGAAGGACAAGUCCCAGGUGGCCUUGGAAUGAACAAGCCCCUCCCUUCUCACGCGUACUUCUCGAGAAUACCUGAAGAAUGUGCCAGGAAUGCAACCACCUGGUCUAGGGAAGGACCGGCCGGACAGCCCUGGCUCUGCUCCUGUGCCUCCUAGGGCAGGAUGUCCCACACACUGUAGCCCUAUGAGUCACCCCUGGCUAUGGAACCCAGAGCAGAGUGCACCUUUGGGAUCUCUCAGCUGUGGUGUGAAGCGGGACACACAUAGACAAGGCUCCAUUCGUUCUGGGCAGCUUUCCCGAGCCUCGGGGACCCGCUCACCAUGGAUCCUAAGCUUCUGCUGUUCCCUGCUGCCUGCCUGUGAGUAAUAAAGUUGCUUUCAUAACUGGUUGUGUGUGUGUUCUGUCUCCCUGGACUCUUGCACGUGGGUUGAUGCUGGUUCAUGGUAUUGGGAGUUCUCUAG
This 1968-nucleotide long non-coding RNA is filed under the name Homo sapiens (human). RNAcentral describes it as "non-protein coding lnc-PDE6B-1:3". Lineage: Eukaryota; Metazoa; Chordata; Mammalia; Primates; Hominidae. The record is from RNAcentral.